RNAcentral lists this ribosomal RNA (557 nucleotides) under uncultured bacterium. RNAcentral describes it as "bacterial SSU rRNA". It matches the Rfam family "Bacterial small subunit ribosomal RNA", at positions 102 to 694 of the family's 1533-position model. The record is from RNAcentral.
ACGGGUGAGUAACGCGUGGGAAUCUACCCAUCUCUACGGAAUAACGCAUGGAAACGUGUGCUAAUACCGUAUACGUCCUUCGGGAGAAAGAUUUAUCGGAGAUGGAUGAGCCCGCGUUGGAUUAGCUAGUUGGUGGGGUAAAGGCCUACCAAGGCGACGAUCCAUAGCUGGUCUGAGAGGAUGAUCAGCUACACUGGGACUGAGACACGGCCCAGACUCCUACGGGAGGCAGCAGUGGGGAAUAUUGGACAAUGGGCGCAAGCCUGAUCCAGCCAUGCCGCGUGAGUGAUGAAGGCCCUAGGGUUGUAAAGCUCUUUCACCGGUGAAGAUAAUGACGGUAACCGGAGAAGAAGCCCCGGCUAACUUCGUGCCAGCAGCCGCGGUAAUACGAAGGGGGCUAGCGUUGUUCGGAUUUACUGGGCGUAAAGCGCACGUAGGCGGACUAUUAAGUCAGGGGUGAAAUCCCGGGGCUCAACCCCGGAACUGCCUUUGAUACUGGUAGUCUUGAGUUCGAGAGAGGUGAGUGGAAUUCCGAGUGUAGAGGUGAAAUUCGUAGA